RNAcentral lists this long non-coding RNA (413 nucleotides) under Ananas comosus (pineapple). Its description in RNAcentral is "long non-coding RNA (ACOM_LNC021377)". Lineage: Eukaryota; Viridiplantae; Streptophyta; Magnoliopsida; Poales; Bromeliaceae. The record is from RNAcentral.
GCAACAAUGUCCGCUGCUCGAGGAAGUAAGCAAACGGCCAGCUCAAAAAGUGGGAAGGGAGAGAGAGAAAGAGUAAAAAAGAUAGAGAGAUUAGUGAAAAGGAGAAAAUAAAAGAAAGUGUAGUAGCUUCGUGCAUCAGAGGAGGUGGAAAAGGAAGAGGAGGGGACGAGAACAAAAAAGAGAAAAAGAAUGAAUAAGGAAAAAAGAGAGAGCUCAGUGGUAAAGGAAGAAAGAUGAGAGUGAAGAGAGAAAUGAGAGUGAAGAAAGAGAUGAAAGCGGAGAGAGAAGUGAGGAGAUAAAAGGGGAAAGGGGUUAAGUAGGAAGAGGCUAGCGUGGGUCGCCCCUCCCCCCUGUAUGGUGCUGAGGGACAAAUGGUGAAUGAGGAAAUAGAAUUAGUUGGCAGGUCAAGCAAG